GCGGGUGUGGCGGAAUUGGCAGACGCGCAGGACUUAGGAUCCUGUGGGGUUAACCCGUGAGGGUUCGACUCCCUCCACCCGCAC
Molecule: transfer RNA, 84 nt
Filed under: bacterium HR13
Lineage: Bacteria
Description: tRNA-Leu
Rfam family: tRNA
About the family: Transfer RNA (tRNA) molecules are approximately 80 nucleotides in length.
Source: RNAcentral